This 509-nucleotide ribosomal RNA is filed under the name Paralichthodes algoensis. Its description in RNAcentral is "partial 16S ribosomal RNA". It matches the Rfam family "Bacterial large subunit ribosomal RNA", at positions 1963 to 2591 of the family's 2925-position model. The record is from RNAcentral. Lineage: Eukaryota; Metazoa; Chordata; Actinopteri; Pleuronectiformes; Paralichthodidae.
AAUCACUUGUCUUUUAAAUGAAGACCCGUAUGAAUGGCAAGACGAGGGCUUAACUGUCUCCUCCCUCAGGUCAAUGAAAUUGAUCUCCCCGUGCAGAAGCGGGGUUUCGACCAUAAGACGAGAAGACCCUAUGGAGCUUUAGAUUAUAGACAGACCAUGUAAAGAACCCCUUAAUAAGGGAAAAAACUUGUGGAUUCUGCCCUAUAUCUUCGGUUGGGGCGACCAUGGGGAAAUAAAUAACCCCCACGCGGAACGAGAGCACUUCUCCAUUUUUACACCUAUUAGUCUCAACAAUCUUGCUCCCACAAACUAGAAUCGCAAUUCCAGUUACCAGUAUUUCUGACCAUUAGUGAUCCGGCAAAACCGAUCAACGGACCAAGUUACCCUAGGGAUAACAGCGCAAUCUCCUUCUAGAGCCCCUAUCGACGAGGAGGUUUACGACCUCGAUGUUGGAUCAGGGCAUCCUAAUGGUGUAACCGCUAUUAAGGGUUCGUUUGUUCAACGAUUAA